Long non-coding RNA from Pipra filicauda (Wire-tailed manakin), 459 nucleotides. RefSeq lists it as uncharacterized. The record is from RefSeq and is a predicted model, not a curated record. The transcript is spliced from 2 exons. NCBI's taxonomy places the organism in Eukaryota, Metazoa, Chordata, Aves, Passeriformes, Pipridae.
AGUGUAGAUAUUCCUCAAACACUGGCUUGGAUGGUUCUGUUUGGAUCUCCCAGUCACAUGCUGCUAUCCACCUUGACUCAGUGAAAGAAGAGAGAGCAGGUCUGUGGACACAAGACUAGGGGAAAGAAGAGCACAGAAUCAUCUCAUUCUAACUCUCCUGCUGUGGGCAGGGAGACCUUCUGCUAUCCCAGGUUGUUUCAAGCCCCAUCCAACCCGGCCUUGAACAUUCCCAGGAUGGUAUCACUCUGUACUUGGAUUAAUUUAGUCUUUUCUGGAUCUGCUGCUUGACUAGAAGAACUGAACAUCCACAAAGAUGCCCUGGGAAGUUAUGUGCACUGCAUCAGCCGGUGGCUUUAUAAAGAAGAAAACUUCCUUUGGACCAUCUCUAUAAAAUCACAUGCAUUUUUAUAGCCAGACAAGCAAAAUUCUAAGUCCUAACUAAACUACCUUGCCCUUAAA